RNAcentral lists this ribosomal RNA (869 nucleotides) under uncultured Comamonadaceae bacterium. RNAcentral describes it as "bacterial SSU rRNA". It matches the Rfam family "Bacterial small subunit ribosomal RNA", at positions 57 to 921 of the family's 1533-position model. Lineage: Bacteria; Pseudomonadati; Pseudomonadota; Betaproteobacteria; Burkholderiales; Comamonadaceae. The record is from RNAcentral.
GCAGUCGAACGGCAGCACGGGUGCUUGCACCUGGUGGCGAGUGGCCUACGGGUGAGUAAUAUAUCGGAACGUACCUUAUCGUGGGGGAUAACGCAGCGAAAGCUGCGCUAAUACCGCAUACGCCCUGAGGGGGAAAGCGGGGGACCGUAAGGCCUCGCGCGAUUAGAGCGGCCGAUAUCUGAUUAGCUUGUUGGUGGGGUAAAAGCCCACCAAGGCGACGAUCAGUAGCUGGUCUGAGAGGACGACCAGCCACACUGGAACUGAGACACGGUCCAGACUCCUACGGGAGGCAGCAGUGGGGAGUUUUGGACAAUGGACGCAAGUCUGAUCCAGCCAUUCCGCGUGCAGGAUGAAGGCCCUCGGGUUGUAAACUGCUUUUGUACGGAACGAAAAGGUUUGUCUUAAUACGAUGAGCUCAUGACGGUACCGUAAGAAUAAGCACCGGCUAACUACGUGCCAGCAGCCGCGGUAAUACGUAGGGUGCAAGCGUUAAUCGGAAUUACUGGGCGUAAAGCGUGCGCAGGCGGUUAUGUAAGACAGAGGUGAAAUCCCCGGGCUCAACCUGGGAACUGCCUUUGUGACUGCAUAGCUAGAGUACGGUAGAGGGGGAUGGAAUUCCGCGUGUAGCAGUGAAAUGCGUAGAUAUGCGGAGGAACACCGAUGGCGAAGGCAAUCCCCUGGACCUGUACUGACGCUCAUGCACGAAAGCGUGGGGAGCAAACAGGAUUAGAUACCCUGGUAGUCCACGCCCUAAACGAUGUCAACUGGUUGUUGGGUCUUCACUGACUCAGUAACGAAGCUAACGCGUGAAGUUGACCGCCUGGGGAGUACGGCCGCAAGGUUGAAACUCAAAAGAAUUGACGGGGACC